This 403-nucleotide ribosomal RNA is filed under the name Fusobacteriota bacterium. RNAcentral describes it as "Fusobacteria bacterium partial 16S ribosomal RNA". It matches the Rfam family "Bacterial small subunit ribosomal RNA", at positions 355 to 776 of the family's 1533-position model. The record is from RNAcentral. Lineage: Bacteria; Fusobacteriati; Fusobacteriota.
UGGGGAAUAUUGCACAAUGGAGGGAACUCUGAUGCAGCGACGCCGCGUGAACGAAGAAGGCUUUCGAGUCGUAAAGUUCUUUUAUAUGGGAAGAUAAUGACGGUACCAUAAGAAAAAGCCCCGGCUAACUACGUGCCAGCAGCCGCGGUAAUACGUAGGGGGCUAGCGUUGUCCGGAAUCACUGGGCGUAAAGGGUUCGCAGGCGGAAAUGCAAGUCAGGUGUAAAAGGCAGUAGCUUAACUACUGUAAGCAGUUGAAGCUGCAUAUCUUGAGAAGAGUAGAGGUAAGUGUAAUUUUUAGUGUAGCGGAGAAAUGCGUAGAUAUUAAAAAGAAUACCGGUGGCGAAGGCGACUUACUGGGCUCAUUCUGACGCUGAGGAACGAAAGCGUGGGUAGCAAACAGG